AUGAGACGAGGCCCGCCGGCCGCCGCGAUGCCACCAACGUCCACCUCGCCGGGGGACCUAGUGGCGCUCUCCGCCCGGUGCUCCACGAAGCGCGACCUCCGCCUCCUCCACGGCGCUCUCCUGCGCCGCCGCCACCUCCUCCCCACCGCGGACGCCGUCGCGGCGCUCGCCAAGCUGCUCCGGUUCGCCGCCGUCUCCCCCGCCGGCGACCUCCGCCAAGCAGCCGCGAUGCUCUCCACCCACCUCCCCUUCAUCACCUCGGCCUCCUCCCACCCCGCCUUCUUCUACAACACCCUCAUGCGCGGCCUCGCCGCCUCCUCCUCGCCCAGCGACGCCAUCGGGCUCUUCGCCGCGAUGCGCCGCGCGGGCGCCGCGCCCGACGCCUUCACCUUCACCUUCGUCCUCAAGUCCUGCGCUCGCUGCCCCUCGGGCCGGCGAUUACCUUCCGACCUCCACGCCCAGGCGAUCAGGCACGGCUGCCUCGGCGCGCACACGCACGUGCACAAUGCGCUGCUUCACGCCUACGCGUGCCGGGCGGCCGUCGACGACGCGUGCAGGGUGUUUGAGGAAAUUCCGGUUCGGGACGUGGUUUCGUUCUCAGGGCUACUCACUGCGCAUCUCAAAGCCAGUGAUUUGGAUGCCGCCCGUGUUGUGUUCGACAAGAUGCCUCACCGGGAUGUCGUUUCUUGGACUGCGGUGAUUUCAGCAUAUGCCAAGGCUUGCCGGCCACAGGAGGCCCUGGCAUUGUUUGAUGCCAUGCCGAUGCAGCCAGACGAGGUGACCAUGGUGAGUAUCGUGUCUGCGUGCACCACGCUCGGGGAUCUUGCAACUGGGGAGCGCGUGCGGAGGCACAUUGAUUCCCUUGGUUUUGGAUGGAUGGUGUCACUUCACAACGCACUCAUGGACAUGUAUGCUAAGUGUGGUUCCCUCCCUGAAGCUCGAGCUUUGUUUGAUGGGAUGACGGUGAGGAGCUUGGCAUCUUGGAACACGCUGAUCUCGGCAUAUGCAUCACAUGGCGAUCUGGACAACACGAUUGCUGUGUUCUAUCAGUUGCUGGCAGAAGGGAACACUGUGAGGCCAGAUGGGGUGACGCUUCUUGCAGUGCUCAUGGCGUACACGCACAAGGGCUGUGUUGAGGAGGGGCGAGCCAUGUUCAAUGCGAUGCAGCGAGGCGACUUUGGCAAAGUGGAAUUCACAGUCGAACACUAUGGGUGUCUGGUGGACAUGCUUGGUCGGGCAGGGAAACUCGAGGAGGCAUACCAAAUGAUUGAGCAAAUGCCAAUUCCAAGCAAUGCUGUGAUCUGGGGCGUGCUACUUGGUGCUUGUCGGACUCAUGGGGAUAUUGACAUGGCAGAGCGGGCUGUGCAGGAGUUAAGGAACCUAAACCCAGAGGAAGGUGGGUACUACAUUUUGCUCAGUGAUAUGUACACAUCUGCUGGUCGGAUAGCAGAGGCCACGGAGAUUAGACGUGCCAUGAAUGAGAAGGGGGUCCAGAAGACUACAGGCCGGACCACUGCCUUUCUGCCUCAGCUGUAG
This 1536-nucleotide ribosomal RNA is filed under the name Triticum aestivum (bread wheat). RNAcentral describes it as "partial small subunit ribosomal RNA". The record is from RNAcentral. Lineage: Eukaryota; Viridiplantae; Streptophyta; Magnoliopsida; Poales; Poaceae.